Araneus ventricosus is the source of this 74-nucleotide non-coding RNA. Lineage: Eukaryota; Metazoa; Arthropoda; Arachnida; Araneae; Araneidae. The record is from the annotation of a GenBank genome assembly.
CUUGCCACCCUGAGAAUCGAACCUGGCGCCUCCUGGAGGAAAGCCAGGUACCAUAAUCACUAGGCCAGAGAUAG